GACGAACGCUGGCGGCGUGCUUAACACAUGCAAGUCGAACGGAAAGGCCCUGCUUUUGUGGGGUGCUCGAGUGGCGAACGGGUGAGUAACACGUGAGUAACCUGCCCUUGACUUUGGGAUAACUUCAGGAAACUGGGGCUAAUACCGGAUAGGAGCUCCUGCUGCAUGGUGGGGGUUGGAAAGUUUCGGCGGUUGGGGAUGGACUCGCGGCUUAUCAGCUUGUUGGUGGGGUAGUGGCUUACCAAGGCUUUGACGGGUAGCCGGCCUGAGAGGGUGACCGGCCACAUUGGGACUGAGAUGCGGCCCAGACUCCUACGGUAGGCAGCAGUGGGGAAUAUUGCACAAUGGGCGGAAGCCUGAUGCAGCAACGCCGCGUGCGGGAUGACGGCCUUCGGUUUGUAAACCGCUUUCGCCUGUGACGAAGCGUGAGUGACGGUAAUGGGUAAAGAAGCACCGGCUAACUACGUG
This 468-nucleotide ribosomal RNA is filed under the name uncultured bacterium. RNAcentral's name for it is "partial 16S ribosomal RNA". It matches the Rfam family "Bacterial small subunit ribosomal RNA", at positions 28 to 507 of the family's 1533-position model. The record is from RNAcentral.